RNAcentral lists this microRNA (21 nucleotides) under Gallus gallus (chicken). RNAcentral describes it as "gga-miR-1708". Lineage: Eukaryota; Metazoa; Chordata; Aves; Galliformes; Phasianidae. The record is from miRBase by way of RNAcentral.
UGGGGUGUGGAAUGAAUCCUU